Molecule: small nucleolar RNA, 102 nt
Organism: Lemur catta (Ring-tailed lemur)
Lineage: Eukaryota; Metazoa; Chordata; Mammalia; Primates; Lemuridae
Product: small nucleolar RNA U13
Exons: 1
Source: RefSeq, a predicted model, not a curated record
AUACUUUUGUGGUUCAUAAGUGUGAUUACUGGGGUUUCAUGCAAUAUAUAAGAUGUUCCUCCUCAAACUUUGUUAGGAUGUUGGCACAUUACCUGUCUGAUG